GUCAAUCAACAGGUGGCUGGGAAUGUCAUGGAGGAGAGGGAAAGCAAUGUGAUGUGGUAAAGGGGAGAGUGCAAACGCAGUCCCCCAUAACCACAAAUUAUGCAGUCAAGAUUUUCAUGUUUGAGGAAAUCGCAGGGGUUAGCACACCUGGAGUGCAAUGGCUAAGACUUGCCCUGAGAAAACCACCUUCGUGAUCAUGGUAUCUCCCCCUCCAGCAGGACCAUGAGAUAACAGCAAGGACAGGAGCAGAAACCAGACGGAGCCUUGGCGAGACCUUGCACCUGAGACCUUGCAUAAAGCCCCCACAGCUCACGUGCCCCUCCCCCCUGCUUUUCAUUUCCCACCCUCCAUACCCUCAACCCCUCUUUUA
Molecule: long non-coding RNA, 370 nt
Organism: Cynocephalus volans (Philippine flying lemur)
Lineage: Eukaryota; Metazoa; Chordata; Mammalia; Dermoptera; Cynocephalidae
Exons: 3
Source: RefSeq, a predicted model, not a curated record